Molecule: ribosomal RNA, 324 nt
Filed under: uncultured eukaryote
Lineage: Eukaryota
Description: partial 18S ribosomal RNA
Rfam family: Eukaryotic small subunit ribosomal RNA
Source: RNAcentral
CCCUUAGAUGUUCUGGGCCGCACGCGCGCUACACUGAUGCAUUCAACGAGCCUAUCCUUGACCGACAGGUCCGGGUAAUCUUUGAAUCUGCAUCGUGACGGGGAUAGAUUAUUGUAAUUAUUAAUCUUCAACGAGGAAUGCCUAGUAGGCGCAAGUCAUCAGCUUGCGUCGAUUACGUCCCUGCCCUUUGUACACACCGCCCGUCGCUCCUACCGAUUGGGUGUGCUGGUGAAAUGUUCGGAUCGGCCGUUUGUCGCGGUUUCCGCGGCUCGUGGCUGAGAAGUUCAUUAAACCCUCCCACCUAGAGGAAGGAGAAGUCGUAAC